AGAAUCAACGCUGGCGGCGUGCCUAACACAUGCAAGUCGCACGAGAAAGUGGAGCAAUCCACGAGUAAAGUGGCGCACGGGUGAGUAACACGUGAAUAAUCUACCUCCGAGUGGGGAAUAACUGAGAGAAAUCUUAGCUAAUACCGCAUAAUACCCACGGGUCAAAGCAGCAAUGCGCUUGGAGAGGAGUUCGCGGCCGAUUGGCUAGUUGGCGGGGUAAUGGCCCACCAAGGCGAUGAU
RNAcentral lists this ribosomal RNA (240 nucleotides) under uncultured bacterium. RNAcentral describes it as "partial small subunit ribosomal RNA". It matches the Rfam family "Bacterial small subunit ribosomal RNA", at positions 26 to 280 of the family's 1533-position model. The record is from RNAcentral.